Gorilla gorilla gorilla (western lowland gorilla) is the source of this 438-nucleotide long non-coding RNA. RefSeq lists it as uncharacterized. The transcript is spliced from 3 exons. Lineage: Eukaryota; Metazoa; Chordata; Mammalia; Primates; Hominidae. The record is from RefSeq and is a predicted model, not a curated record.
UGCCGGCCCAGGGUUGCCCUGAAGACACAGGGGUGAGGCUCAGCAGGCCCACGAUCAGGGGUUCUCUCUGCUCCAGGAUGGGGCCCCAGCCAGGCUCUCCAUGUGCUCAUGGUAACCUGGAAUCUGCGGUCAUCAGAGUGUCCAGGCACCUGGGCUUUGUGUCUGAGCUCUUGGGCUGGUGCCCGGGGGUGCCUGGGGUCAGACUCCACUGGGACUGCACAGCCCUGGCUGGCGCCAUCUCCUCGCAGCUCCAGCUCCAGUACCCGGCUCUCCAGCUGAAGGAUCUGUGGGACAACUGGCAUGAGCAGGUGCACCUGCCCGCGGGCCACCUGGGGGCACGUGUCCUGGGCCUGCACCCCCUGUCCCCCGUGCACUGAGGCUGGUUCACACGGCUGCUCACCUCACUCUUCAGCUGGAAGAUUUCAGCCUCGUGCUGCU